Molecule: transfer-messenger RNA, 359 nt
Filed under: Sporolactobacillus shoreae
Lineage: Bacteria; Bacillati; Bacillota; Bacilli; Caryophanales; Sporolactobacillaceae
Description: Standard tmRNA
Rfam family: transfer-messenger RNA
About the family: Bacterial tmRNA, also known as 10Sa RNA or SsrA, is named for its dual tRNA and mRNA-like properties. Its role is to liberate the mRNA from a stalled ribosome. To accomplish this part of the tmRNA is used as a reading frame that ends in a translation stop signal.
Source: Rfam by way of RNAcentral
GGGGACGUUACGGAUUCGACAGGGGUAGGUCGGGUUUAAGCGGCGAGCCGAGGGGGUCGGCCUCGUAAAAACGCCAAAGCCAUAACUGGCAAAGAAAACAACAACCUCGCUUUAGCUGCCUAAUCAGCUUUUAGCGGUCCCUCCCUCCAUCGCCCAUGUGGUAGGGUAAGGGACUCACUCUAGUGGGAUACGCCGGAAGCCUGCAUCCUGAAGGCCAGGGAAGAGAUCAAUCGGGAUAGUCCCGCGAAAGCCUGUCGGCGGGCCGACGCCGGGGCGAAAUGCUAAUAUGUCGACUACGCUCGUAGAAACUUAAAUCACGAUGCUUCUGGACGUGGGUUCGACUCCCACCGUCUCCAUUC